GGGUGUAAACCUCUUUCAGUAGGGAAGAAGCGAAAGUGACGGUACCUGCAGAAGAAGCGCCGGCUAACUACGUGCCAGCAGCCGCGGUAAUACGUAGGGCGCAAGCGUUAUCCGGAAUUAUUGGGCGUAAAGAGCUCGUAGGCGGUUUGUCGCGUCUGCCGUGAAAGUCCGGGGCUUAACUCCGGAUCUGCGGUGGGUACGGGCAGACUUGAGUGAUGUAGGGGAGACUGGAAUUCCUGGUGUAGCGGUGAAAUGCGCAGAUAUCAGGAGGAACACCGAUGGCGAAGGCAGGUCUCUGGGCAUUAACUGACGCUGAGGAGCGAAAGCAUGGGGAGCGAACAGGAUUAGAUACCCUGGUAGUCCAUGCCGUAAACGUUGGGCACUAGGUGUGGGGGACAUUCCACGUUUUCCGCGCCGUAGCUAACGCAUUAAGUGCCCCGCCUGGGGAGUACGGCCGCAAGGCUAAAACUCAAAGGAAUUGACGGGGGCCCGCACAAGCGGCGGAGCAUGCGGAUUAAUUCGAUGCAACGCGAAGAACCUUACCAAGGCUUGACAUGAACCGGAACGGCGCAGAGAUGUGUCGGCCACUUGUGGCCGGUUUACAGGUGGUGCAUGGUUGUCGUCAGCUCGUGUCGUGAGAUGUUGGGUUAAGUCCCGCAACGAGCGCAACCCUCGUUCCAUGUUGCCAGCGGGUUAUGCCGGGGACUCAUGGGAGACUGCCGGGGUCAACUCGGAGGAAGGUGGGGACGACGUCAAAUCAUCAUGCCCCUUAUGUCUUGGGCUUCACGCAUGCUACAAUGGCCGGUACAAAGGGUUGCGAUGCUGUGAGGUGGAGCUAAUCCCAAAAAGCCGGUCUCAGUUCGGAUUGAGGUCUGCAACUCGACCUCAUGAAGUCGGAGUCGCUAGUAAUCGCAGAUCAGCAACGCUGCGGUGAAUACGUUCCCGGGCCUUGUACACACCGCCCGUCAAGUCACGAAAGUUGGUAACACCCGAAGCCGGUGGCCUAACCCCUUGUGGGAGGAGCCGUCGA
This 1030-nucleotide ribosomal RNA is filed under the name Arthrobacter tecti. RNAcentral describes it as "bacterial SSU rRNA". It matches the Rfam family "Bacterial small subunit ribosomal RNA", at positions 421 to 1459 of the family's 1533-position model. The record is from RNAcentral. Lineage: Bacteria; Bacillati; Actinomycetota; Actinomycetes; Micrococcales; Micrococcaceae.